Long non-coding RNA from Macadamia integrifolia, 742 nucleotides. RefSeq lists it as uncharacterized. The record is from RefSeq and is a predicted model, not a curated record. Lineage: Eukaryota; Viridiplantae; Streptophyta; Magnoliopsida; Proteales; Proteaceae. The transcript has 3 exons.
CCCUGGAAAAAAAAUUAUCUUUCACCCCAACAAGGAAGAAAGGAAGGAAGGAAGGAAGGAAGAAGAAGAAUGGUUGAGAUGAUGCAGAAUGUCCCAGACGAUAUAAUGAAGGAGAUCCUCUUAAGGUUACCCGUGAAAUCCAUGCUUCGAUUCAAAAAUAUGUGGAUUGAUGAUUUCGCUGGAUGAUUGAUCUUCUUGGAAUUAUCUGGAACUUCUUUGAUAGAGAGUACAUGAUCGUGUGGGGAUUUGUAGAGAAAAACAAACAAUUAGAAGGCCUUCUGGUGCAUGUAAAGCUAUCACAGGAGCAACAAGUGGUGGUAGUAGUGGUUCUGUUGGGUCAGCAAAUGCUGUUGUGUACUAGCAGCAUAAACCUUGAUGGAGAUGUGGGUGAUAAAGGAAUAUGGUUUCAAGGAGUCUUGGACUAAACAGAUAAUCGUUUUGAAUUCGGAUGCUUAUCUCUAUAAACCAGUAGAAUCCUGGGAUGAUGAAAUUCUGUUCCAGCACAGAGAAAAGAAUUUAGUUUUGUACAACAUCAAGAGUAAGACAGAAAGGGAUCCUGGAAUUCAAGGACUUCCAGUUCGUUGCAAAGCAUUUACUCACACCAAGAGCCUCGUUAUGCUCAAGGGUUUGCGAACGAGUGUGCAGGGUGACAGGCGGAAGGGAAAAGAAGAAGAAGAAGAACAGUAACAAAGAAAAGGGGUAAAAAUUGGAACCCCUCUCUUUAAUCCUAUAUCCCUCUUAA